Molecule: long non-coding RNA, 810 nt
Filed under: Cicer arietinum (chickpea)
Lineage: Eukaryota; Viridiplantae; Streptophyta; Magnoliopsida; Fabales; Fabaceae
Description: long non-coding RNA (CARI_LNC000489)
Source: RNAcentral
CAUUCAAGUUUAAAUAUGUACCAAAUUUAAAACAAAAACAAAACACCACAAUUCUAAUUUUGUUUUUACUUUUCAUUAUUUGGAUUGCAAAUCCAAAGUACAGACGGGCUGUGUUUACUGUCAGCCAACCUUUUUUCUUCUUCACUUUACGCCUCCUUCAUUUUAGACCUCUUUGCUGUCAAACACGCAUAUAUGUUACUCUUUUAUCCUUUUUGUCUUGUUAAGAUUCCUGUUAUAAACCAGUUAUUUCACUAAUUUGAUUUACUUUGUAACUUAAUAAAGAGAUUACUUGUAACACAUAGAAAGCCAGAAAAAAAUUAUUUCCUAAAAUCAUACUUUGCUUAAAAUUGUUAAAAAAAAACAAUCUAAAAUCCAAUUAAUUUUUGUUGAGUAACAAUGCACCCAUGAAGACAUGUUGAGUAACAAUCCAAUUAGAACUCGUAUUUAUCUAAUGAAUGGAAACAUUAGCCAUUUCCCCUAUAAAUUGAGACAAACAUAAAUGAAGAAGAGAGGAUUUUGGAGGCAGCUUUGAGUAUUAACAAAACUAAAAAAAAUAGAGAGAAAUAGAGUGUUUCACCGCCAUUCCAACUCCACACAACCGUGCACCGUCUCUGUCUUCAUCACGUGAAGCACCGUCGCUCUUCCAUAUCUAUUUUUCUUCAUUAUGUUCAAACUUUAUAUUUGAUUAUUUAUUUGAGAGAUGAAAUCUUUUUAUGUAUAUGAAUGUUGUUUUGGUUGAUAUAAUGUGUAUCUGAAACAAAAUUUUUAUGGUAUUUGAAAAGUUUUUUUUUUCUUUGAUUUAAACCUUUU